Molecule: long non-coding RNA, 2595 nt
Organism: Tympanuchus pallidicinctus (lesser prairie-chicken)
Lineage: Eukaryota; Metazoa; Chordata; Aves; Galliformes; Phasianidae
Exons: 2
Source: RefSeq, a predicted model, not a curated record
UACAGCAGGUUGCACAGGUCGGCAUCCAGGCAGGUCUUGAACAUCUCCAGAGCAGGAGAUUCCCCCACCUCCCUGCAGCCUGUUCCAGUGCUCCGUCACCUCACCUAAAGAAGUUCUUGCGCACAUUCAUGUGGAACUUCCUAUGCUGCAGCUUAUGUCUGUUUCCCCUUGUCCUGUUUCCACGUACCACUGAAAAGAGACUGGCCUCACCACUAUGGCCCCCACACCUCAGGUAUUUAUAAACCUGGAUUAGAUCCCCUCUAGUCGUCUUUUCUCAAGGCUAAAUAGACCCAGUUCACUUAGCCUUUCUUCAUAGGGGAUACUGUGUUAAAUUAUGAAACAAUCCUGGUUUGCCAGUUUAAACUGAAAAAAAUGCUUCUUCUGAAUCUUUCUUGAAAGAAAGUAAAUGCUUGAUGUCUCAUAAAAAGAAAAAUGAUAUUUUACGGUGGGAAUGGGCAGUGAUAGAAGUGAAGCCUCUUCUACCAUCUCAAUUUAAGACUGAAUGUUCCAUGCUCACCUUGCUUCUUUGCUUCAGUGAAUGCUCUCUUAUCUCUCCACUGUAACUUGUUUCCUGGUGUGUUUUUAGUAGCAAUUUUAAUUCUGCUGUGAGCAAAUAGAGAUGUAUCUAUCAUAAGCAAAUGCACAGCACAUUGAAAACCAAGCAUUUCACCAUUUAAGAAUGCACAGUUCCUCUGUCUAUGUAUGUCACUGUACAAACUUUUGAAGGCUAACAUGUCAUUGUUUCAGUUAAUGUUAGUGCUGUGAAUAAGCUGCUUUCUGUAACGCCCUCAUUAAUCCUGCUUUGCAACUGCCAUUUGAGCAGUGAUAUCAUUGAAAGCAGUAGAAAACAUUUACAUAUACUUUACUUAUCAGAAAGCUUGCCUGCCAAACAAACCCUAGCAUCAUCUGUUAUGAUACACAUUCUUGACCUGUGGAAAUACCAGUUUGCAUUAAAAAAUUGUGAAAAGGUAAUUUCCCAUUCAAUAACAUUUUAGUUUGUAAGAACUUCCUUCUCUUCCAGUUCUAACCUGAUAUAUGAUGUCUGCCAUCAUUGGUAGAUGGCAGAAUGCACAGCCAGGAACCAAGGAGGUGAGUGGUUUAGCCUGCCAGUGGUCUAGAUUGCCAUGAACCAUUGGCUCCCACUUAGCUGGAAGUUGGCAGCUGUCCCAUCCUGCUCCAAAGGGACGCUAGCUACUCCAAAGGCUUUUCAGUCUGUUCUCUGCUGGCAAGUGGCUGCUCUUCAGCAUUUGUCAAAUAUGAAUAUUCACAGCAAUGCAACAUGACUAAUUUUCACAGUUAACAACUAUAUAAAGGCUGGUCAAUAUAGCCUGAAGGUAGGCUCCCCACUGCCAUAAUAUGCACAGUGUACAAACCAGGGCAGACUUCCUCCUCCCAACUCCACAGAUCCCAUUGGGCCCUUUUAAGGAUGCACAAAUUGCAGUAACAAAACAGGGUGAUCUAAGGCAUGUCUACUUUGACUCACAAGAUAGCAGUUAUGACUUCUUACAAAAAUUUAAUCGUCAGAGCAAUAUAAUUCAUCUGGAGUAAAGCAGCCCAUGAGUUUAAAGACUGCUGUUCUCCCUACUAUUACUUGUUUGUUGCUGUUUUUAAGGAAUAUGAUGACUGUAAUGCGUAAUUCCAAUUUAUUUCAUUUUACUGCAGUGAAAGCAAAGUGGUUUAUUACCAAAAAUAAGUUUCCAGCAACAGGGAUUGCUGUACUUACUCAGCACAUUUCAGGAUAUUUUGUUCAGACUGCAGAUUUUUACAUUCUCCUUAAAAAAUUUUACAUCAUCAUAAAAAACAGUGGAAGGAACAGAGCUUAAAAUGGAAGUAUGAAAUGAAAACUUCUUCAUGAAAAGUAUGUUCUUUAAGAGUGCACUGUUUCAACACAGUAAUAAUUAGUUUGAAUUACUGUAAUGCUAUAAUGUGAUGGAAAGUACAGCAAUAGUAGCAGGGUGGCACAAUCCUGGGCUGCAGAAAAUGAGAACAAGCCUAAAGGCUGCAGCCACAGACGCAGAAAGAAAGGAAGAAAAACUUCUGACCUCUGGAGGACCUCAGGUACACAGGGAUCUCCAAUGACAUCCCCUCACCUCCUCCACUGCCAGCCCUUAAAUGAGGGCUGGGAAGAGGUGGGUCCUGGUUCCACCCUUCCAUCAUUCAGUGCAUUGCAUUGCAUUGCAUUGCAUGCACCUGAGCUCCCUGGGCUGCCCUGCCUUCCCACCAGGUGCUCCAUCACUGCUUCAGGCCACGGCUCAGCAUUUCUGAUGUAGUUACGUUUUUAAGAAAGCGAGUAAAAAAGAGAACAAGAGAAAAAGAGGGAGAAUGCUAUUUGUUUCUGUGACCCAGUUUGAAAUAGUCCAACUGAGAAAACAGCGUUCCUUUUCACUGCACAGCAAUUUAACACAGAUGUUAAAUGCAUUUACAAAAUUGAAUUCAUUUACAAACAUAAAUUCACUGAUCUGUCAAAUUAAUAUUUUUUUCCUAUUCUUAUCAUUUGGUACACUGUUGCAAUAGAUUAACUGAGUUUGGUUUUUUUCCUAAUGUGAAUUUCUGAGCCUAAUUAUUAAAGAAUUUUGUUUGCUGUGGACAAAUGCA